AUUGAACGCUGGCGGCAUGCUUUACACAUGCAAGUCGAGCGGCAGCGCGGGGGCAACCCUGGCGGCGAGCGGCGUACGGGUGAGUAAUACAUCGGAACAUGUCCUGUCGUGGGGGAUAGCUCGGCGAAAGCCGGAUUAAUACCGCAUACGAUCUACGGAUGAAAGUGGGGGAUCGCAAGACCUCACGCGAUUGGAGUGGCCGAUGUCGGAUUAGCUAGUUGGGAGGUAAAGGCUUACCAAGGCAACGAUCCGUAGCUGGUCUGAGAGGAUGAUCAGCCACACUGGAACUGAGACACGGUCCAGACUCCUACGGGAGGCAGCAGUGGGAAUUUUGGACAAUGGGGGCAACCCUGAUCCAGCCAUGCCGCGUGAGUGAAGAAGGCC
RNAcentral lists this ribosomal RNA (384 nucleotides) under uncultured bacterium. RNAcentral describes it as "bacterial SSU rRNA". It matches the Rfam family "Bacterial small subunit ribosomal RNA", at positions 30 to 416 of the family's 1533-position model. The record is from RNAcentral.